This 446-nucleotide ribosomal RNA is filed under the name uncultured bacterium. RNAcentral's name for it is "bacterial SSU rRNA". It matches the Rfam family "Bacterial small subunit ribosomal RNA", at positions 330 to 792 of the family's 1533-position model. The record is from RNAcentral.
GCCAGACUCCUACGGGAGGCAGCAGUGGGGGAUAUUGCACAAUGGGGGAAACCCUGAUGCAGCGACGCCGCGUGAGUGAAGAAGUAUUUCGGUAUGUAAAGCUCUAUCAGCAGGGAAGAAAAAAGACGGUACCUGACUAAGAAGCCCCGGCUAACUACGUGCCAGCAGCCGCGGUAAUACGUAGGGGGCAAGCGUUAUCCGGAUUUACUGGGUGUAAAGGGAGCGUAGACGGCAAUACAAGUCGGAAGUGAAAUACCCGGGCUCAACCUGGGAACUGCUUUGGAAACUGUAUGGCUGGAGUGCUGGAGAGGUGAGCGGAAUUCCUAGUGUAGCGGUGAAAUGCGUAGAUAUUAGGAGGAACACCAGUGGCGAAGGCGGCUUACUGGACAGUAACUGACGUUGAGGCUCGAAAGCGUGGGGAGCAAACAGGAUUAGAUACCCUAGUA